UCUAGAGAAAAUCCUUCAGUCGUAGCGCCCACACUUAUCGGCUGUGCAUGAUCAGCAUGCCUGCCGAACGGGUCUGUAGCUCAGUUGGUUAGAGCACACGCUUGAUAAGCGUGGGGUCGGUGGUUCAAGUCCACCCAGACCCACCAACCGACUGACUCCGGGAAAUCGCUCCGAAGCAGGGGCCAUAGCUCAGCUGGGAGAGCGCCUGCUUUGCAAGCAGGAGGUCACCGGUUCGAUCCCGGUUGGCUCCACCAGGAUUCCAGGCAUCUCAUCGCCAAACGCCUCGCAAGGGCGCUUCGCGAUUAGUUGUUGUUCGGCUGCUUCUUUAAAAAUUCGGAAGAAGUGAAGCGAACCCGGUCUCUCAACCGGGUUCGUCUGGGUAGUGAUUGCAUUAUGAGCAGUGGGGAUUUGUCUCCUCAUUGCUCACCAAGCGCUCCCUAUGGUCCUAAGUUCCGGCGCCGAGCCGAGCUCAGGGUUAUAGG
This 482-nucleotide transfer RNA is filed under the name uncultured bacterium NAZ8. Its description in RNAcentral is "16S-23S intergenic spacer region". The stretch from base 70 to 143 matches the Rfam family "tRNA". The record is from RNAcentral. Lineage: Bacteria; Pseudomonadati; Pseudomonadota; Betaproteobacteria.